AAAUAUUUACAACCACAUUGAAAAAUCAAGGAAACCACAUACAUUUAGUUCUUAAAUGCCAACUAACAGUGGAUCACAUAUCAGAAACCAGUUUUUGAGGUUCAGCUGCGCCUUGAGACAGUUUUCCUUGGGUCCACCUCUUCAGCAUCUCUAAUGCAGCCUUGGGCUGGUCCAUAGGAACCAUGUGUCCUGCAUCAUGGACCUGUUGAUCCAUGCACCACGCAACUAUAUCAGUACACUUUACAAAUGUGUGCCAUAGUCCAGGGUGAGAGAGGGAAGAAGAGAGGGAUACCUUGAGGAAGGCGAGAGGCCCAUGGCUUCUCAAUACUCCGGCUUCUGAACCAUCAACUUCAAAAGGAAGUUCAGGUGAUGCCACAAAACUUUUCUGACCAGACCAC
This 398-nucleotide long non-coding RNA is filed under the name Manihot esculenta (cassava). RNAcentral describes it as "long non-coding RNA (MESC_LNC011444)". Lineage: Eukaryota; Viridiplantae; Streptophyta; Magnoliopsida; Malpighiales; Euphorbiaceae. The record is from RNAcentral.